Molecule: ribosomal RNA, 429 nt
Filed under: Pseudomonadota bacterium
Lineage: Bacteria; Pseudomonadati; Pseudomonadota
Description: Proteobacteria bacterium partial 16S ribosomal RNA
Rfam family: Bacterial small subunit ribosomal RNA
Source: RNAcentral
UGGGGAAUAUUGGACAAUGGGCGAAAGCCUGAUCCAGCCAUGCCGCGUGUGUGAAGAAGGUCUUCGGAUUGUAAAGCACUUUAAGUUGGGAGGAAGGGCAGUAAGCGAAUACCUUGCUGUUUUGACGUUACCGACAGAAUAAGCACCGGCUAACUCUGUGCCAGCAGCCGCGGUAAUACAGAGGGUGCAAGCGUUAAUCGGAAUUACUGGGCGUAAAGCGCGCGUAGGUGGUUCGUUAAGUUGAAUGUGAAAGCCCCGGGCUCAACCUGGGAACUGCAUCCAAAACGGGCGAGCUAGAGUAGGGCAGAGGGUGGUGGAAUUUCCUGUGUAGCGGUGAAAUGCGUAGAUAUAUGAAGGAACACCAGUGGCGAAGGCGACCACCUGGGCUCAUACUGACACUGAGGUGCGAAAGCGUGGGGAGCAAACAGG